AACGAACGCUGGCGGCAGGCUUAACACAUGCAAGUCGAGCGAGACCUUCGGGUCUAGCGGCGGACGGGUGAGUAACGCGUGGGAACGUGCCCUUCUCUACGGAAUAGCCCCGGGAAACUGGGAGUAAUACCGUAUACGCCCUUUGGGGGAAGGAUUUAUCGGAGAAGGAUCGGCCCGCGUUGGAUUAGGUAGUUGGUGGGGUAAUGGCCCACCAAGCCGACGAUCCAUAGCUGGUUUGAGAGGAUGAUCAGCCACACUGGGACUGAGACACGGCCCAGACUCCUACGGGAGGCAGCAGUGGGGAAUCUUAGACAAUGGGGGCAACCCUGAUCUAGCCAUGCCGCGUGAGUGAUGAAGGCCUUAGGGUUGUAAAGCUCCUUCAGCUGGGAAGAUAAUGACGGUACCAGCAGAAGAAGCCCCGGCUAACUCCGUG
Molecule: ribosomal RNA, 433 nt
Filed under: uncultured bacterium
Lineage: Bacteria
Description: partial 16S ribosomal RNA
Rfam family: Bacterial small subunit ribosomal RNA
Source: RNAcentral